This 460-nucleotide ribosomal RNA is filed under the name uncultured bacterium. RNAcentral's name for it is "partial 16S ribosomal RNA". It matches the Rfam family "Bacterial small subunit ribosomal RNA", at positions 338 to 795 of the family's 1533-position model. The record is from RNAcentral.
CCUACGGGGAGCUGCAGUGAGGAAUAUUGGUCAAUGGACGAGAGUCUGAACCAGCCAAGUAGCGUGAAGGAUGACUGCCCUAUGGGUUGUAAACUUCUUUUAUAUGGGAAUAAAAUGUUCCACGUGUGGGAUUUUGUAUGUACCAUAUGAAUAAGGAUCGGCUAACUCCGUGCCAGCAGCCGCGGUAAUACGGAGGAUCCGAGCGUUAUCCGGAUUGAUUGGGUUUAAAGGGAGCGUAGGUGGAUUGUUAAGUCAGUUGUGAAAGUUUGCGGCUCAACCGUAAAAUUGCAGUUGAAACUGGCAGUCUUGAGUACAGUAGAGGUGGGCGGAAUUCGUGGUGUAGCGGUGAAAUGCUGAGAUAUCACGAAGAACUCCGAUUGCGAAGGCAGCUCACUGGACUGCAACUGACACUGAGGCUCGAAAGUGUGGGUAUCAAACAGGAUUAGAUACCCCAGUAGUC